RNAcentral lists this ribosomal RNA (863 nucleotides) under uncultured bacterium. RNAcentral's name for it is "bacterial SSU rRNA". It matches the Rfam family "Bacterial small subunit ribosomal RNA", at positions 9 to 873 of the family's 1533-position model. The record is from RNAcentral.
AGAGUUUGAUCCUGGCUCAGGAUGAACGCUAGCGGCAGGCCUAACACAUGCAAGUCGAGGGGUAGUAGGUGCUUGCACUUAUGAGACCGGCGCACGGGUGCGUAACGCGUAUGCAAUCUACCUUUUACUGAGGGAUAGCCCAGAGAAAUUUGGAUUAAUACCUCAUAGUAUUAUUGAGUGGCAUCAUUUGAUAAUUAAAGUUCCAACGGUAAAAGAUGAGCAUGCGUCCCAUUAGUUAGUUGGUAAGGUAACGGCUUACCAAGACUAUGAUGGGUAGGGGUCCUGAGAGGGAGAUCCCCCACACUGGUACUGAGACACGGACCAGACUCCUACGGGAGGCAGCAGUGAGGAAUAUUGGACAAUGGGCGCAAGCCUGAUCCAGCCAUGCCGCGUGCAGGAAGACGGUCCUAUGGAUUGUAAACUGCUUUUAUACAGGAAGAAACACUCCCUCGUGAGGGAGCUUGACGGUACUGUAGGAAUAAGGAUCGGCUAACUCCGUGCCAGCAGCCGCGGUAAUACGGAGGAUCCAAGCGUUAUCCGGAAUCAUUGGGUUUAAAGGGUCCGUAGGCGGCCUUAUAAGUCAGUGGUGAAAUCUCCUAGCUCAACUAGGAAACUGCCAUUGAAACUGUAGGGCUUGAAUUAUUAGGAAGUAACUAGAAUAUGUAGUGUAGCGGUGAAAUGCUUAGAUAUUACAUGGAAUACCAAUUGCGAAGGCAGGUUACUACUAAUGGAUUGACGCUGAUGGACGAAAGCGUGGGUAGCGAACAGGAUUAGAUACCCUGGUAGUCCACGCCGUAAACGAUGGAUACUAGCUGUUCGGAGCAAUCUGAGUGGCUAAGCGAAAGUGAUAAGUUCCCCCCUGG